UACGAAGGGGGCUAGCGUUGUCCGGAAUCAUUGGGCGUAAAGGGCGCGUAGGUGGCCACUUCAAGCGUGCCGGUGAAAGUCGGGGGGCUCAACCCCUGAUCGGCCGUGCGAACUGGGGACUUGAGUGCAGAAGAGGAAAGCGGAAUUCCGACGUGUAGCGGUGAAAUGCGUAGAGAUGAUGGAGGAACACCAGUGGCGAAGGCGGCUUCUGGUCGUGUAACUGACGCUGAGCGCGAAAGCGUGGGGAGCAAACAGG
RNAcentral lists this ribosomal RNA (256 nucleotides) under uncultured bacterium. Its description in RNAcentral is "partial 16S ribosomal RNA". It matches the Rfam family "Bacterial small subunit ribosomal RNA", at positions 524 to 776 of the family's 1533-position model. The record is from RNAcentral.